This 571-nucleotide ribosomal RNA is filed under the name uncultured bacterium. RNAcentral describes it as "partial 16S ribosomal RNA". It matches the Rfam family "Bacterial small subunit ribosomal RNA", at positions 355 to 919 of the family's 1533-position model. The record is from RNAcentral.
UGGGGAAUUUUGGACAAUGGGCGAAAGCCUGAUCCAGCAAUGCCGCGUGUGUGAAGAAGGCCUUCGGGUUGUAAAGCACUUUUGUCCGGAAAGAAAUCCUUGGUUCUAAUAUAGCCGGGGGAUGACGGUACCGGAAGAAUAAGCACCGGCUAACUACGUGCCAGCAGCCGCGGUAAUACGUAGGGUGCGAGCGUUAAUCGGAAUUACUGGGCGUAAAGCGUGCGCAGGCGGUUUGCUAAGACCGAUGUGAAAUCCCCGGGCUCAACCUGGGAACUGCAUUGGUGACUGGCAGGCUAGAGUAUGGCAGAGGGGGGUAGAAUUCCACGUGUAGCAGUGAAAUGCGUAGAGAUGUGGAGGAAUACCGAUGGCGAAGGCAGCCCCCUGGGCCAAUACUGACGCUCAUGCACGAAAGCGUGGGGAGCAAACAGGAUUAGAUACCCUGGUAGUCCACGCCCUAAACGAUGUCAACUAGUUGUUGGGGAUUCAUUUCCUUAGUAACGUAGCUAACGCGUGAAGUUGACCGCCUGGGGAGUACGGUCGCAAGAUUAAAACUUAAAUGAAUUGACGGGGU